UACGGAGGGUGCGAGCGUUGUCCGGAAUCACUGGGCGUAAAGGGCGCGUAGGCGGCUCAUGAAGGCUGUGGUGAAAGUCCGGGGCUCAACCUCGGAUCGGCCGUGGCGACUCGUGGGCUGGAGCACUGUAGAGGCGGGUGGAAUUCCGGGUGUAGCGGUGGAAUGCGUAGAGAUCCGGAAGAACACCAGUGGCGAAGGCGGCCCGCUGGGCAGUGGCUGACGCUGAAGCGCGACAGCGUGGGGAGCAAACAAG
This 253-nucleotide ribosomal RNA is filed under the name uncultured bacterium. RNAcentral's name for it is "partial 16S ribosomal RNA". It matches the Rfam family "Bacterial small subunit ribosomal RNA", at positions 524 to 776 of the family's 1533-position model. The record is from RNAcentral.